AUUGAACGCUGGCGGCAGGCUUAACACAUGCAAGUCGAGCGGGGUGAUGGUGCUUGCACUAUCACUUAGCGGCGGACGGGUGAGUAAUGCUUAGGAAUCUGCCUAUUAGUGGGGGACAACAUCUCGAAAGGGAUGCUAAUACCGCAUACGUCCUACGGGAGAAAGCAGGGGAUCACUUGUGACCUUGCGCUAAUAGAUGAGCCUAAGUCGGAUUAGCUAGUUGGUGGGGUAAAGGCCUACCAAGGCGACGAUCUGUAGCGGGUCGGAGAGGAUGAUCCGCCACACUGGGACUGAGACACGGCCCAGACUCCUACGGGAGGCAGCAGUGGGGAAUAUUGGACAAUGGGGGGAACCCUGAUCCAGCCAUGCCGCGUGCGUGAAGAAGGCCUUAUGGUUGUAAAGCACUUUAAGCGAGGAGGAGGCUCUUUUGGUUAAUACCCAAGAUGAGUGGACGUUACUCGCAGAAUAAGCACCGGCUAACUCUGUGCCAGCCGCCGCAGUAA
RNAcentral lists this ribosomal RNA (503 nucleotides) under uncultured bacterium. RNAcentral describes it as "partial 16S ribosomal RNA". It matches the Rfam family "Bacterial small subunit ribosomal RNA", at positions 30 to 523 of the family's 1533-position model. The record is from RNAcentral.